AUUGGGGUGGCAGAGCAUGGUAAAUGCGAAAGGCCUAAGCCCUUUUAGCCAGAGGUUCAAAUCCUCUCCCCAGUU
Molecule: transfer RNA, 75 nt
Filed under: Labeo coubie
Lineage: Eukaryota; Metazoa; Chordata; Actinopteri; Cypriniformes; Cyprinidae
Description: tRNA-Leu
Rfam family: tRNA
About the family: Transfer RNA (tRNA) molecules are approximately 80 nucleotides in length.
Source: RNAcentral